GACAUCCUCUUCUCCUUCUCCUUCUAAAUUUCUACUUGAUGCCUCCCCGAAAGGCAUCCACCAGGCGAUCCACGACCUCCACGGCCAGAUCUCAACGAUCUCCACAAGACCCGACCUCAUCUCCAGCUUCCCAGGCUCCUCCUCCUCCGACAACAGCAGUCGACAGAUUCAUUCGAUGCCAACCUGAAGGUAGAGAAGAUCGGCCAAGGGCCCUGCUACAACCGGAGCUGUCAAGGAGGGAAGAAAAGCUUGGAGAUCGGCCUCCAAUCGGAAUCAUCAACACUAUCUCUGGAGGGCCCCAGAGGGGAGUGGCCAGU
Molecule: long non-coding RNA, 317 nt
Filed under: Elaeis guineensis (African oil palm)
Lineage: Eukaryota; Viridiplantae; Streptophyta; Magnoliopsida; Arecales; Arecaceae
Description: long non-coding RNA (EGUI_LNC066091)
Source: RNAcentral